Cannabis sativa is the source of this 3685-nucleotide long non-coding RNA. RefSeq lists it as uncharacterized. The record is from RefSeq and is a predicted model, not a curated record. NCBI's taxonomy places the organism in Eukaryota, Viridiplantae, Streptophyta, Magnoliopsida, Rosales, Cannabaceae. The transcript is spliced from 3 exons.
UUAAAAUAAAAAUUAAAAUAGGCUCAUCAUUUAAAAUUGUAUAUUUUGGUAAUUUUGUUCAAGGAUAAAAAUGUAAUUAAAAUUUUUAUUUAAAAUAAGUUGUAUUUAUAACUUAUUAGGGUGCAAAUAUAAUUUCACUUUUCCAAAAAUAUAUAUACUAUUGUACCCUUAUAAUUGUAUCUCAAUUUAAUUUUUUUCAAUUUUUUUUAUUAAUAAUCUUGAAUUUAUUGUAUCAUUAAUCUUUAUUUUGAUUUAUUUUAUUUUUUUAAGAAUAUAAAACAUUAAAGGUUGGCCAUUUAGUUAUAGAUAAACAUUAAAUUACGUGUGUUUCGGGAUAGUGCAUGAGAAAUGAGUCAGUUCCCUAUCUCUCUAUUUUGAUUUGUUAUCUUGACUUCUCUCUCACUCUCUCUGUGAUUUGUGCAUUCAUGGGUCCACCUCUCUCUGCCAUUGGAGAACCCAUUCUCAGCAGAGGAGAGAUUCAGCUUGGACUAUUGGAGAACCUCUGUGGUGACGGUAGAGUCGGGGAUCUCAAAUCUCUGAUCUCAGAUCGCAUCUCUCUCUCUCUCUCUCUCUCUCUCUCUCUCUCUCUCUCUCUCUCUCUCUCUCUCUCUCUCUCUCUCUCUCUCUCUCUCUCUCUCUCUCUCUCUCUCUCUCCCCUCCAGAUCUCAUCCCUAUCUCGAUAUCUGGUAUGGUUUCAUCUCUAAUUUCAUCUUUUCUUUCGUGUUGUUUCCGAAUUUAUAUACAAUUUCAGGUGAUUAUUUUUGUUAAUUGAUGUUGAGAAAUGGAGUAGCUGGUUUAGUUGGGAUUUUAUGCCCUAAAUAAAACUCAUUUCAAUCUAAUCUGAUUUGUUAUCAAUAAAAGAUUAGAAGUCAUUUAUGUUUACAUGUAGUUUUCAUAUUUAUGGUUUAAUAUAUACAAAAUCUGGUAAGUCCAGAACAUAUAGUGAUUCGCAAUUACAGUGAUGUCAACAUAGUAGAAUGUGAUUGUGAUUAUAUGCUUCAAAAGACAAAGUCCCUGUUUCAUCAAUGCAUUAGAUUUACACUGAUGUGAUAAUCAGCGAUGAAGUGUACUUACACUUUGAAUAAGUGUUAUGUUCUUUCUAGAAUAUUGGCAAAGUAUGCUAGUUUCGGAUGUAUGGAGUAUACAUUGGACUGGGACCGAUAUUGAACUUAGUAAAGAUAUUAUAAUCUUACCAUUGUAUCCUUCUGAGUCAAUAUCACUGGUUGAUCUUAGAUCAAAAGAUCUUAACCAUGACAUGCUUAGGUUCAAUCUCAGGAGUGUUAUUCAUGUUCUUUGAUUUAUUAGUUAAGCCUACUUUCUGGUCAUGGUGAUACAUACAUUUUGGGAACAUGAUAGUAUGAUUGAGUGAGAGCGCUAAACAUAGAUAUGGAAUCUAUAGCUUCUAUGAGGACAUAGAAGUGAAACGAUGAUUUCCUUCGAGCUUGGCUAAAUAGAGGUAAAUUGAAGAGCUCUUGUUUCAGUGAUUAUAUUUUAGUUCACUGAAGUAUCAUUUACAGGAAGCUAAGUGUUUUAAGGAUAAAAUAAAAUGAGGAGUGAAACGAUAAAUUUAUCCCUACUCGGUGUAAAUCAUCUAGAGAGGAUAUUUGAUUAUUGAGAUUAGAACGAUGGUUAAAUGUUUAUAGUGUAUCUAUAUCGUGGAGCAUAUAGAGCGUUCUAUAUGACUGAGAGUGCAAUUCGAAGUUCUAUGAGUGAAUACAAUAAGGAAUUAAUAAGUUAGGGAAUUUACUCGGUAAAUUCUAGCUCGGCUUAUUGUAAGCUCGGUUGUAUAGGCGCAUGGUCCCCAUACUAGUUGAGACCAUACUGCUUGUAAGACUCAGAUAAUUAAUUUUAAUUAAUCAAUUAUAAUUCUAAAAUUAGACUAUAUCUAGUUUAUGAAUUUUCACUAAGCAAUGGCUUAAUUAUGAAGAAAUGAGAUUCUAGGUUUUAUUUAUUAAUUGAGAGAAUUUAUUAUGUCUAAUUAAUAAAUAUAUUAAAUAAAAAUUUUAUUUGAUAAUUAAUUUUAAUUAUUAAAUAAUUAGUUUUGGCAUUUAAAUGGUUAGAAUUGGAAAAAUAGAAUUUUUGAGAAAAUAAUUGAAAGAUUGUCAAAAGUGAAAAAAUUCGAAAGUGGGUCGGGCCCAUUAGUAUGGUCGGCCACUUGGUUGGUAAUUUGCACUUAAUUUUUCUAUUAUUUUAAUGCCUAAUAAAUCCUAUCCUAAACCUAGGUGGUUGCCUAUAAAUAGAUAGUGAUGGCUCACAGUUAAAAGAUGAUGAAAUUUCUUGCCUUCAGAAAAAUUGAGCCAUCUAUUCCUUCUAUAUUCAAACCACUUCUCUCUUCCUUCUUCAUCAUAUUUUUCAUAUCUUGAGUGAUAGAGUGAGUGCCCACACACAGCAAGUGGUAUCUCAAUCAUAGUGUGUAAGGCUGUGAUGAAUCAAGAAUCAAGAGAAGGACAUUCGGGCUCAGAUCUUGGUGACACUCUACUACAGACAGGAUACAAGGGUUAGUGAUCUAAGCAGAAGGAGCCAUUAAUAUUCUACUGCAUCCAAUUAUCCAACAUGGCAAUGACCAACCCCAUGGCGUCACUGUUGACUGAUAAUAAGCUGAAUGGAUCUAACUUUCCCAAAUGGAAAGAGAACAUUAACAUUGCUCUCAUUGGUGAAAAUGCCCUGUUUGUGUUAACUGAACCGUCUCCUGAGCAACCGGGUGAGAAUGCAACCAAAGCAGUAAAGGAGAAGUUCGAGCGUUGGCAGAAUGCCAACAACAAAGCUCGAUACUUCAUGCUUUCUAGCAUGGUUGACAUCUUGAAAACAAGGUUUGCUAACACUCUCACGACUGCAGAAAUCUUGAACCAGUUGAAUGAACUAUUCAGGAUGGCAUCAAUUCAAUCUCGCUUUGAAGCGACAAGGAAUUUCAUCAAUGCACGGAUGAAUCCUCAUCAGAACGUGUGUGAUCACCUUCUCCAAAUGGCGAGUUACUUCCAAGAAGCUCAGAAUCAUGGAGCUAUUAUGGAUUAGACAACUCAAGUGAGUGUGAUCUUGAAAAAUUUUACUCCAGCCUUUCGACCUUACACUUCAAAUUAUGUCAUGAACAAGAAGGAACUUGACUUUCACGAGUUGGCAAACAACCUUUAGAUAUUUGAAAAUUUGAUUGGAGGACCACAGAAAAAGGGAUCUAAAACUCCUAAUUCUGGGAAUGCUAAUGGGGUGGCUAAGGCUAAGGCAAACUUUGCCUCUACUUCCAAACCCAAGAACAAGAAGAAGUGGAAUAAUAGCAAGAAGCAUGUUCAAGCUGUGAAAAUAGUUAAAAAGAAAAAGGCUGCUGCUCCCGGUGAUAAGCCAAAAGGAAAAUUCUUCUAUUGCAAUGAAAAGGGCCACUGGAAACCCCAAUGCCCUAAGUUUCUAGCAAAGAAAUAAGCUCCAGAUGCUUGAACUUGGAUUGCUAUCCUAGCGAGUUGAGUCGGAUGGUUGGACAGAUGGGUGCAGAUAGUCCAAGAUGAAGAUGAAGCUUGGAAUCUUCUAUUUUUUUUAAAAAAAUUAUUAUUUUGAAUUAAUUUUUUUAUUUUAAGAACAAUUUGGAUUUCAAUUAUUGGUUUGGGAUUUUAUUCCCUAUUUUUCAUAUUAUUGCAGACAAUUCCUUUAAUUUUGGAAAAUUUUAUAAUAAAGUUUUCUCUUUUGGAAAUGAAUUGCA